AUCUGCAGCCAUAUCAUGCUGUAGCCCAAGACUGGUUGCACACUGAAGCUAAGCAGGGUUGAGCCUGGUCAGUACCUGGAUGGGAGACCUCCUGGGAAAACUAGGUUGCUGCUGGAA
Sinocyclocheilus anshuiensis is the source of this 117-nucleotide ribosomal RNA. The record is from Ensembl. Lineage: Eukaryota; Metazoa; Chordata; Actinopteri; Cypriniformes; Cyprinidae.